Long non-coding RNA from Colias croceus (clouded yellow), 550 nucleotides. RefSeq lists it as uncharacterized. The transcript is spliced from 2 exons. The record is from RefSeq and is a predicted model, not a curated record. NCBI's taxonomy places the organism in Eukaryota, Metazoa, Arthropoda, Insecta, Lepidoptera, Pieridae.
AAAUCCGUAGACAGAGUAACUAAUAGACCCAAUGACGAUACCUUUCUCACUUACACAAGAAAGAGAGCGAAAAUACCAUAACAAAUGCAUAAGACAAAGACACAAAUACCCAAUUUUUUGUCCCUUAGUGUGUAACCUGUUUUUCAAGAUCCGCAACUUGAGUUGCGAAACAAACUUUGACAGUUCGUGCCUUCAUCGUGCUUGGUGUUCGAAUUUUGGAUAUUAUUUAGUAAAAAAUCGAUACGAGUACAUUGAAAAGACGGUGAAAUUAUCUUAAUAUAGACAUCGAAGUAAAUAGAAUGGUGCGUUGUCGUGUUAUUGCAUGUAUAAGCGAUAGUGAGAAGAAAAUUGCCGGUGUGUCUUUUCACGCAUGAUCCAGACCUACGUAAUUAAUGGAUCGAAGUGGUAGAAAAGAUUGGAUUCUCACUAAAUAUUGUAAAAUAUGAACAAGCCAAUGAAAAAGUAAGAAAUGUGUUUCGUCAUCAAUAAUCAAUCUGCUUAUAUUUUUUGUAUCUACUAAAUUGAUUAUAAAGACAAAAGAAAAAUCUCA